UUCUUUUUUUAUAGAAAAGGUUUAUGACCAUAUUAUCUCAAAUUAAAAUAUAAUAUCAUGCAAUGCAUUGUAUUACACAAUUAUAAAACUUAUUUCAAAAACGGUAAGUCUUGUAAAAUACCCUUAUUAGCAUUAUAUGAAGUUUACUGGUUCUUUUUCUGAUCAUAUGUACUUUGGGAUAGAACACAAUUUACUUUUAGUCCUCCUCCUUUUUUCCAAAAUCCGUUAUUUUUCGAAAUUAACAGAAAACAAAAAAGAUAACGGAUAUUGGAAAAGAGGGAGGGCGGGGGGGGCUUAAAACAAAUUGUCUUGUCCCCAGAUCCCAAAUACCUUUGUUUUUGAUAGAUAAAAGUGUCUGUUUGAAUUAGUGUCUGUCCUCGUUGAGUAUGAACACGCGAAGUUUAUAUUGAUGUUCUACGAAAGUAUUCGUAUACUGUAAUCUUAUGGUUUGUGUUCUGAUAUUAUAAUCGUAGCCAUAAGGAUAGAAAGUACAUGUAUUACAAGGAUGGAGACAUUAUACAGACUUAAACAAUCAGCAUCUUACUUAACAUGUCAUACAUGUAUCAUAAAAGAGAUUCCCUACUUCCCGCUCAAUCGUAUCACGCGAGAAAAACACGACGAUUCGACGUCUACUACAAAAAUUAUGAUA
RNAcentral lists this long non-coding RNA (649 nucleotides) under Mytilus galloprovincialis (Mediterranean mussel). The record is from RNAcentral. Lineage: Eukaryota; Metazoa; Mollusca; Bivalvia; Mytilida; Mytilidae.